UACAAUUGCUUUCCUCCAGCAGAUUAACAUUUGCUAACGGGGCCUGGCGCGGUGACACCAGCGUAAGGUUGCUUUUUGCAUGCCUGUGCUGUGGGGUUGGUGGUGGGGGCAAGGCGGUGGUAGGGGCGAGGUCAGGGCAGUGAGUGAGGUUGCCCAUGGUCAUCCUCCACCGUGCUGGGGGGUUGUCAUCUCUCGGGGCUUAGCAGUUGUUGGGGAUGGGUGAAGUCCAGUCCUGAGUCACAGUGUGUGUUGGGAGAGGUUGCUGAUAUUCAUAGCCCUGUAUGUUUGAGUAAUGACAACAUCCAUCUCCACCUUCAGGGUGAGGAGCUGUUGGCCUAUCUGUGUCUGUCUGUCUGUCUGUCAUCCGUACCUGUCUCUCCAAGGGAGAGAAGGCAGGCCCCAGGGUCUUUCCCCAGGAUGGCCUUGGGUGAGUUCCUGCUGUCCUCUCUGCCCAGGAAAUGAACGCCCUUUGAGGUCAGGUGGACGAGGAUGUCAGUGUGAAGAUGGACACUGUGCCUGGAGUGAACCUGAGCUGCAUCCUGAAUGAGAUGUGUGACCAGGACAAGAAACUGGUGGAGAAGAGCUGCAAGGAUGCCCAGGGCUGGUUCUUCAGCGUGAGAGAGCGGCUGAACUGCGAGGUGGCCACCAACACAGAGGCCCUGCAGAGCAGCAGGAUGGAGAUAUGGAGCUCUACAUCUCUGUGCAGAACCUGAGCCGUCCCAGCUCAGCAAGAAAGCAUCGCUGGAGGGCAGCCUGGUGGAGACGGAGGUGUGCUACAGGACCCAGCUGGCCCAGCUGCAGGGGCUCAUCAGAAGCAUGGAACAGCAGCUGUGCGAGCUCUGCUGUGAUGCAGAGCGCCAGGUCCUUCUGGACGUGAAGACGCGGCUGGAGCAGGAGAUCGCCACCUACAGCCGCUUGCUAGAGGUUGAGGACGCCCAGUGAGUGUGCACCCAGGAGGUGAAACUGAGGAUGCAGGCUGGAGUCUAACUGAGGAGCCUUGACUGCCAAGUUAAAGCAUCUGGACUAGAUCACGUAGGCAAUGGGGAGCCAUGGAGGGAUUUGGAGCAGAACAGGGGAAUGAACAUCAAGAUAUUUUAGAACAUUCACUCUGGCUGCAGAGGGAGAAAUGGAUCAGAGGGGUCAGGGUGGGGCCGGAGAGAUGCGUCAGGGGGCUAGAGCAGGGAGUCUGGCCAGAGAAGUCUUGCGGGGUGGAGGCUGGGUGGGGGGGCAGGGGAAGGAAGGUGGUGCGUGCAGAAGAGAGGUUAUAGCUCAAAACAGCAGGACUGGAUGCCUGGAUCUCAGGGUAAGCGUGGCUCACAGUCAGGACUCAGUAAGUGUUGGGUGAACACAUAUGAAGGAGUGGGCAUUGAUGGCCCUGGGGUUCUGGUUCUGAUGACUGUGUGAGUCCAUCAGCCACAGGGUGAAGAGCAUGGUGGGUGGUGGUCGGGUUUGCAGUUGGGAAGGGUGAUCAGGCCUUCAGCUGAGAGUGUCCUGGAGUCUCCAUGCUUAGUCACACGUUGCAGCUUUUUGCUCCCCGAAAAUGGUGAAGUCCAUCUAUAGUCUAACGACAGUCUCUCCUGCUUUAAUUGGGUCUAUUUGUUGGGUCCUCUGGGAUAUGGAAAAACCACUUGCUCAGCUUCUCCUUGUAAAUUCCUGGUGAGUGCCUCCAGGCCUACUGCUGUGCUGUUUCUUUUUCUUCUUCCUGCUGCGCUGAACCCCUGCCCUUUCAUUCUUGGUCCUGUGCUAAUUUCUGUGCAUUCCCAACUGUGAUUUUUCAACAAUUUAGGGGAACCUCCUCUGCCAGGGCCUGCUUCUCCCCAGCAGUGCUUGCAGGGGCCUGGGCUGGCUGGCAUCCCUGGGUCGAUGGGUGCUCCUCUCCCUGCAGGCUGGCCACUCAGUACUCCUUGUCCCUGGCCUCGCAGCCCACCCGGGAAGCCACAGUGACCAGCCACCAGGUGUGCCAUCGUGGAGGAAGUCCAGGUUGGAGAGGUGGUCUUCUGUGAGCAGGUCCAUCUCUCAAGCCACUGAGGCCCCUUUCUGCCUGUGACAGCCCCACCUCGAGGGUCACGGCACAGCCAUCAGCUCCAGCUCCCAGCAUGCUACUGCCACGCCCCGAGUGUCCGUCUGGGCACCGGUCCAUGACCUGUUGUCUUUCUGUAUCUACUUUCUGCAGCCCCUCACUGAGGAGGCCUCCUGGGUUUGUCCAGUGCCUGCUAUUAAAGCUUUGCUCCAAGUUCAA
Gorilla gorilla gorilla (western lowland gorilla) is the source of this 2239-nucleotide long non-coding RNA. RefSeq lists it as uncharacterized. The record is from RefSeq and is a predicted model, not a curated record. The transcript has 5 exons. Lineage: Eukaryota; Metazoa; Chordata; Mammalia; Primates; Hominidae.